GCGACCCCAGGAUGGGCGAGGCCACCCGCCGAGUUUAAGCAUAUCAAUAAGCGGA
This 55-nucleotide ribosomal RNA is filed under the name Polystachya fallax. Its description in RNAcentral is "partial 26S ribosomal RNA". Lineage: Eukaryota; Viridiplantae; Streptophyta; Magnoliopsida; Asparagales; Orchidaceae. The record is from RNAcentral.